CAACCUGCCCUUCAGAGGGGGACAACAGUUGGAAACGACUGCUAAUACCGCAUAACAUAUCCGGGAGGCAUCUCCUGGAUAUCAAAGAUUUAUCGCUGAAGGAUGGGCUCAUGUCUGAUUAGCUAGUUGGUGGGGUAACGGCCCACCAAGGCUGCGAUCAGUAGCCGGUCUGAGAGGAUGAACGGCCACAUUGGGACUGAGAUACGGCCCAGACUCCUACGGGAGGCAGCAG
This 232-nucleotide ribosomal RNA is filed under the name uncultured bacterium. RNAcentral describes it as "partial 16S ribosomal RNA". It matches the Rfam family "Bacterial small subunit ribosomal RNA", at positions 122 to 354 of the family's 1533-position model. The record is from RNAcentral.